Molecule: long non-coding RNA, 1021 nt
Organism: Bubalus bubalis (water buffalo)
Lineage: Eukaryota; Metazoa; Chordata; Mammalia; Artiodactyla; Bovidae
Exons: 3
Source: RefSeq, a predicted model, not a curated record
GAGAACAUUGAAAAGAUGAGUUGCUUCUCACCUACUAAAGUGAGACAAGGAAUUUCAGAAGAUCUUCUUGGAGGACUUGAUAUUUAUCCCCUGGAGUCUGCUGAACUCAGAGUGGAGGCCUGUUUCUUUCCAGGAGAAAUCCUGAGAGAUCUUAAAAUUGUGUUGAUCUCAAGCUCCUCAAAGCCUGGAUCUACCCCUGGUUUUCUGCACUUUCCAUUACUGGCUGGUGAGAGGUGACAGUUCCAGGUGACCCCUUGGCUGCAACCGCCUGCUCACCUCUCCACAUCCUGUUAGCCCUUGGUCAUCUUCCAAAACUCAACUGUGACAUCUUUUCUCCAGAAAGCAUACUCGAAAAUCCAAUGUGAAGUAAUCCUCUUUUAUGCUCCAUCACAUCCUGUGCAAACCUCUAUAUAUUGAAAUUUUAUUGACAGUUUUGUGUCUCUAUUUCACUAGGCUAUAAAGUUUUUUGAGAAAAAGACUAUUUUGUAUUCAUCUUAGUACCCUCGACAUGAAGCCCAGUGCCUUCCAUUUGGUAAAUGAUUUAAAAUGCUCAUUAAAUUGUCUUUGAGUUAAACUGAUACACUUAACAGUUUUAUGUAAGAUUUCCUUUGGCUGAAAGUUUUAGGUAAUUGGCCAGGUUAUGGAAAAAACUGCGGAAGGAUUCUUAAUUUAGAUACUUUCUGUGUCACUUAUAGGUUGGAAGCAGGUUUUAGGAGCAAAUGGUGUGUUAAGGUCCUAAGGGAUAGAUACACCAGCAGUUCAGCUUAGUUUUUAGGAUACUGGCUAGAAGUUUCUGGGAACUGCUAGCAUUGCCAGAUUUAUAGGAUUGUUGUUAUCAUGUAGUAACAUGUACUAUGAAUGCAUUUUGAUAAUUAGAAAUAUAGACACCUCUAUGUGUAAAUUAUCAGUAAUAGUUAAUGCUCAUCAGAUUAAGAAAUUCACUGCCUAUGAGGCCCUUCCAAUUCUAGAACUCACCCCUAUAAACAAAUCAGAAUAAAAAUUGUUUUAACUUUCCCAUACC